This 460-nucleotide ribosomal RNA is filed under the name uncultured bacterium. RNAcentral's name for it is "partial 16S ribosomal RNA". It matches the Rfam family "Bacterial small subunit ribosomal RNA", at positions 338 to 795 of the family's 1533-position model. The record is from RNAcentral.
CCUACGGGAGGCAGCAGUGAGGAAUAUUGGUCAAUGGACGAGAGUCUGAACCAGCCAAGUCGCGUGAAGGAUGACUGCCCUAUGGGUUGUAAACUUCUUUUAUAUGGGAAUAAAAUGUUCCACGUGUGGGCUUUUGUAUGUACCCUAUGAAUAAGGAUCGGCUAACUCCGUGCCAGCAGCCGCGGUAAUACGGAGGAUCCGAGCGUUAUCCGGAUUUAUUGGGUUUAAAGGGAGCGUAGGUGGAUUGUUAAGUCAGUUGUGAAAGUUUGCGGCUCAACCGUAAAAUUGCAGUUGAAACUGGCAGUCUUGAGUACAGGAGAGGUGGGCGGAAUUCGUGGUGUAGCGGUGAAAUGCUUAGAUAUCACGAAGAACUCCGAGUGCGAAGGCAGCUCACUGGACUGCAACUGACACUGAGGCUCGAAAGUGUGGGUAUCAAACAGGAUUAGAUACCCUAGUAGUC